This 497-nucleotide ribosomal RNA is filed under the name uncultured bacterium. RNAcentral's name for it is "partial 16S ribosomal RNA". It matches the Rfam family "Bacterial small subunit ribosomal RNA", at positions 28 to 507 of the family's 1533-position model. The record is from RNAcentral.
GACGAACGCUGGCGGCGUGCCUAAUACAUGCAAGUUGAGCGAUGAAGAUUGGUGCUUGCACCAAUUUGAAGAGCAGCGAACGGGUGAGUAACGCGUGGGGAAUCUGCCUUUGAGCGGGGGACAACAUUUGGAAACGAAUGCUAAUACCGCAUAACAACUUUAAACAUAAGUUUUAAGUUUGAAAGAUGCAAUUGCAUCACUCAAAGAUGAUCCCGCGUUGUAUUAGCUAGUGGGUGAGGUAAAGGCUCACCAAGGCGAUGAUACAUAGCCGACCUGAGAGGGUGAUAGGCCAAAUUGGGACGGGGACACGGCCCAAACUCCUACGGGAGGCAGAAGUAGGGAAUCUUCGGGAAUGGAAGAAAGUCUGACCGAGCAACGCCGCGUGAGUGAAGGAGGUUUUCGGAUCGUAAAACUCUGUUGGUAGAGAAGAACGUUGGUGAGAGUGGAAAGCGCAUCAAGUGACGGUAACUACCCAGAAAGGGACGGCUAACUACGUG